ACCGUCACAGUACCGUAUCGUAUCCACCGUGCGCCGGCCGGGCAGUCAUUCGCUGAUUCACGUUACACCGUGCCAGGUCCGGGCCGUCACCGUACGCCGUCCGGGCUGAUAUUGGUUUUCCAAACCAAAUUUAUGUGUUUUUUAACCAAAUACUUCGGAUGAGUCAUAUCAUAAAGCACAGGUUUCAGAAUGAAUUCGACCGAAAAACUUAUAUCAGUGAUUCAAUCAUAUCCCAGUUUAUUUAAUACAAGUCGUAAAAUAAGGAAGUAAUUCAUUCCAAGGUGCCAAAUCAAAGUCGAACACCUCAAAUUGCCACAACCAGGCGACAUCGACAUAACGCUGUGAUGCAUUAUUAAAACGAGAUUCUACCAGAUAAGGA
Molecule: long non-coding RNA, 379 nt
Organism: Hyposmocoma kahamanoa
Lineage: Eukaryota; Metazoa; Arthropoda; Insecta; Lepidoptera; Cosmopterigidae
Exons: 3
Source: RefSeq, a predicted model, not a curated record